GACGAACGCUGGCGGCGUGCUUAACACAUGCAAGUCGAACGGAAAGGCCCUGCAUUUGUGGGGUGCUUGAGUGGCGAACGGGUGAGUAACACGAGAGUAACCUGCCCUUGACUUUGGGAUAACUUCAGGAAACUGGGGCUAAUACCGGAUAGGAGCUCCUGCUGCAUGGUGGGGGUUGGAAAGUUUCGGCGGUUGGGGAUGGACUCGCGGCUUAUCAGCUUGUUGGUGGGGUAGUGGCUUACCAAGGCUUUGACGGGUAGCCGGCCUGAGAGGGUGACCGGCCACAUUGGGACUGAGAUACGGCCCAGACUCCUACGGGAGGCAGCAGUGGGGAAUAUUGCACAAUGGGCGGAAGCCUGAUGCAGCAACGCCGCGUGCGGGAUGACGGCCUUCGGGUUGUAAACCGCUUUCGCCUGUGACGAAGCGUGAGUGACGGUAAUGGGUAAAGAAGCACCGGCUAACUACGUG
RNAcentral lists this ribosomal RNA (468 nucleotides) under uncultured bacterium. Its description in RNAcentral is "partial 16S ribosomal RNA". It matches the Rfam family "Bacterial small subunit ribosomal RNA", at positions 28 to 507 of the family's 1533-position model. The record is from RNAcentral.